RNAcentral lists this ribosomal RNA (681 nucleotides) under uncultured nitrite-oxidizing bacterium. RNAcentral's name for it is "bacterial SSU rRNA". It matches the Rfam family "Bacterial small subunit ribosomal RNA", at positions 21 to 696 of the family's 1533-position model. The record is from RNAcentral.
GGCUCAGAACGAACGCUGGCGGCGCGCCUAAUACAUGCAAGUCGAGCGAGAAGGUGUAGCAAUACACUUGUAAAGCGGCGAACGGGUGAGGAAUACAUGGGUAAUCUACCAUCGAGUGGGGAAUAACCAGCCGAAAGGUUGGCUAAUACCGCGUACGCCUCCGGAUCUUCGGGUUCGGAGGGAAAGCCACACUGUGAGUGCGGCGCUCUUUGAUGAGCUCAUGUCCUAUCAGCUUGUUGGUAGGGUAACGGCCUACCAAGGCUUUGACGGGUAGCUGGUCUGAGAGGACGAUCAGCCACACUGGAACUGAGACACGGUCCAGACUCCUACGGGAGGCAGCAGUGGGGAAUAUUGCACAAUGGGGGAAACCCUGAUGCAGCGACGCCGCGUGGAGGAUGAAGGUCUUCGGGUUGUAAACUCCUUUUAUUGGGAAAGAUGAUGUGGGUAACCACUUGGACGGUACCCAAUGAAUAAGCCACGGCUAACUCUGUGCCAGCAGCCGCGGUAAGACAGAGGUGGCGAGCGUUGUUCGGAAUUACUGGGCUUAAAGGGCGAGUAGGCGGUGGGACAAGUCUGAUGUGGAAUCUUAGGGCUUAACCCUAAAACUGCAUUAGAAACUGUUUUACUUGAGUCAGUGAGGGGAGGGCGGAAUUCCCGGUGUAGCGGUGAAAUGCGUAGAGA